AUAUCAUGCUAAGAAUCCUAAGUCUUUUUCAAAAGAAAUCAGUGGGCUCAAGUAUUUGGGGGAAAUCAACAACAAAAAGAAAACCACGUAUAAAGGACUCAACAACACAUGCAAUGACUCGACACACUAAGCUAUGCAAUAAAAAAUCAACAAUAACAUAAAUCUAAACUAACGAAAUAAAUAAAACAAAACAUCAAAAGUAAAGAAAAAUGGUAAACUUUUCUCAUACACCUAAAUC
This 238-nucleotide long non-coding RNA is filed under the name Lathyrus oleraceus (garden pea). RNAcentral's name for it is "Pisum sativum (pea) long non-coding RNA (PSAT_LNC042034)". The record is from RNAcentral. Lineage: Eukaryota; Viridiplantae; Streptophyta; Magnoliopsida; Fabales; Fabaceae.